GAUGAAGAACGCAGCGAAAUGCGAUACGUAAUGUGAAUUGCAAAUUCAGUGAAUCAUCGAAUCUUUGAACGCACAUUGCGCCCGCUGGUAUUCCGGCGGGCAUGCCUGUUCGAGCGUCAUUUCAACCCUCAAGCCCCCGGGUUUGGUGUUGGGGAUCGGCUCUGCCUUCUGGCGGUGCCGCCCCCGAAAUACAUUGGCGGUCUCGCUGCAGCCUCCAUUGCGUAGUAGCUAACACCUCGCAACUGGAACGCGGCGCGGCCAUGCCGUAAAACCCCAACUUCUGAAUGUUGACCUCGGAUCAGGUAGGAAUACCCGCUGAACUUAAGCAUAUCAAUAAGCGGAGGA
Molecule: unclassified non-coding RNA, 345 nt
Filed under: soil metagenome
Description: partial contains 5.8S ribosomal RNA, internal transcribed spacer 2, and large subunit ribosomal RNA
Rfam family: 5.8S ribosomal RNA (bases 1-119)
Source: RNAcentral